AGAAAGCGUGGAACGGCUGGUUCCAUCAGCGGGUUUCUCACUCGAAGUUGAGGUUUCAAGGUGAAUAUGAAAUGGUUAUUGUGAGAUAAUUACUCAUGGUUGUUUGUUAAUCUUCAAGAAUCAAAAUGGUUAUUUGUCUGUCAACUCUACUUUUUAAUCUUUAAACUAAAAUUCAAGAGGAAUUUAGUGGCAUGUGGGGUUACAAAUACACUAUCACCCGUUUAUAGUCUUUAAUUAGGCUACAAAAGUGUUUAAUUUGUGAUUUAAUUAUAAUUAGGUGAAUAUAUAUAUAUACCAAAUUACCAGACCAUCAAGGCAUCAACACUAGUAAUAAGAUCUCAGAGGGUUAUAAUCUGUGGAUUCAUCAUCAUUUUCAAACAAAAAGACUGCCUCUGUUUCAUCCAGAGGGUCUUCGACUACAAAAAUCUAAAUUCUAUACACCAAAUGGAAUUGGAAUAUUUGUUUAUGUAUUCAUGUAGAGAGAAGAAGCCAUUAAGGAGCUCAAACAAUUGUAUGCAUUUUGGUUUCGUCUGUAUGAAAGAGAAUACACCUCUGCUCGUGGAUGCAACAACUUGUCAUAACGCUAAAUGGCUUCUCGUAUUAGAGAUUCCAAUAUGUAUUGGGAAGAAACUUCUGUUUCAUGACGAGAGAUUUAAAAUCAAAAGAGCAAAAUGUCAA
This 678-nucleotide long non-coding RNA is filed under the name Brassica rapa (field mustard). RNAcentral's name for it is "long non-coding RNA (BRAP_LNC003954)". The record is from RNAcentral. Lineage: Eukaryota; Viridiplantae; Streptophyta; Magnoliopsida; Brassicales; Brassicaceae.